GAAUUGCGAUAAGUAAUGUGAAUUGCAGAAUUGUGAAUCAUCGAAUCUUUGAACGCACAUUGCGCCUUUUGGUAUUCCAAAGGGCACACCUGUUUGAGCGUCAUUACACUCUUAAAUCUUUGGAUUUAGUAUUGAGUUUUAUUUCUUAAUUUCUUUUUAAGAAUAACUUGAAAUUUAGUUGGCAGAAGCGAACCAGUUUAAAGGCUGAACAACGUAAUAGGUUUUACCAACUCGUUUUAAAGUCUUUUGGUUUAAAGCUUCGGCAAUAUAAACUAAAGAAAUCACAUAGAUUUCUUUUUAAAGUUUGACCUCAAAUCAGGCGAGAUUACCCGCUGAACUUAA
RNAcentral lists this unclassified non-coding RNA (342 nucleotides) under uncultured Saccharomycetes. Its description in RNAcentral is "sequence contains ITS1". The stretch from base 1 to 103 matches the Rfam family "5.8S ribosomal RNA", at positions 50 to 154 of the family's 154-position model. Lineage: Eukaryota; Fungi; Ascomycota; Saccharomycetes. The record is from RNAcentral.